UGAGGAAUAUUGGUCAAUGGGAGGAAUCCUGAACCAGCCAUGCCGCGUGCAGGACGACGGCUCUACGAGUUGUAAACUGCUUUUGUACCGGGGGUAAAAUGCUCUACGUGUAGAGUUUUGAAAGUACGGUACGAAUAAGGAUCGGCUAACUCCGUGCCAGCAGCCGCGGUAAUACGGAGGAUCCGAGCGUUAUCCGGAUUCAUUGGGUUUAAAGGGUGCGUAGGUUGUUUUAUAAGUAGCGGUGAAAUACCGAUGCUCAACAUCGGGGCUGCCGCUAAUACUGUAGGACUAGAGAUCGGAUGCAGCAGGCGGAAUGUGUAGUGUAGCGGUGAAAUGCAUAGAUAUACACAGAACACCGAUUGCGAAGGCAGCUUGCUAGGCCGGAUCUGACACUGAUGCACGAAAGCGUGGGGAUCGAACAGGAUUAGAUACCC
This 434-nucleotide ribosomal RNA is filed under the name uncultured bacterium. RNAcentral describes it as "bacterial SSU rRNA". It matches the Rfam family "Bacterial small subunit ribosomal RNA", at positions 355 to 787 of the family's 1533-position model. The record is from RNAcentral.